AAAAAGGCAAACCUUGGAUUUCCGUGUCCAACUUUGACUGUCCGUCUUAUAUAAAUUUUUUUUUUUAUUUUUAUAAUUCGUAUUUUUAUUGUUGUUAGAUGAUAAAACAUGAUUAAUACUUUGUGCAUGACUUGUCUUUUUAAUUUUUUUCAUAAUUUUUUUAAAUAAGACGGACGGUCAAAUAUUGGGCACGGAAAUCAGGGUUUGUCUUUUU
MicroRNA precursor from Oryza rufipogon (brownbeard rice), 214 nucleotides. It matches the Rfam family "MIR812 microRNA precursor family". Lineage: Eukaryota; Viridiplantae; Streptophyta; Magnoliopsida; Poales; Poaceae. The record is from Rfam.